This 2388-nucleotide ribosomal RNA is filed under the name Triticum aestivum (bread wheat). RNAcentral's name for it is "partial small subunit ribosomal RNA". The record is from RNAcentral. Lineage: Eukaryota; Viridiplantae; Streptophyta; Magnoliopsida; Poales; Poaceae.
AUGCACGACAUCUUUGAUGACCAGGAAGAGUUUACAGAAAUACCUGACAAUUUUAGCAAUCUGCCUCAGGAGCACUAUCCUCUUACUAUAACAUAUCGAAAGUUCUUGAUGAUGCUUGAUGGAACAUUCCGGAUAUCAUUUUUUGAUGUGUUUUAUGGUGAACUUAAGUCUAGCAUUGAUAGACGGCAUUCAAACUCCCGAGCGCUGCAAACUUUUAUUGAAUCGAAGGAAGUUACCUAUGAGAAAUUUGCUGCUUCCUAUUGGCCUCGUUUUAAUGCAGACCUGACGAAGAAUCUUGACGCAUCCACUGUCUUCACUGAAAUAAUUUCUCAUAUAAAGGGUAGGUAUCAAGCAAGCAACCCAUAUAUUGGCAAGCUUGGGAGACAAGAUUAUGUGAUGCUCUCAGACAAAAGAUUUUCAUCUCUGAACAGUGAGAAGAGAGAUAGGAUUUAUAAUAUUUUCAAUACUUAUGAGAGUAUGAAAUCCACUGCCAGAGAGUUUGAUUUAUCAGAUUUUGUCAACAGUCUUCACAUCAGUCUUGUAUCAGAGGGCUACAGUGGAGAUCUGGUGGAUUUUGUAUACAUAGAUGAGGUGCAGGAUCUAACCAUGACACAGAUUGCACUUCUUAAGUAUGUCUGCAGGAACUUCAAGGAAGGCUUCCUUUUUGCUGGUGACACUGCACAGACUAUAGCAAGGGGUAUCGAUUUCAGGUUUGAAGAUAUCCGUUCACUUUUUUAUACUGCAUUUCUCUCCGAAAAUGAGGCGUUUAAUCAAGGAGUUCAACAUGGGAAACAAGUCCAACUCUCUGAUAUGUUCCAACUUACUCAAAAUUUCCGCACACAUUGCGGCAUCCUUGACAUGGCAAAAAGUAUCAUGAGCCUUCUCUACUUCUUUUUCCCAUCAAGUGUUGACAAGCUUAAUCCAGAGACUGGACUAGUAUAUGGAGAAGCUCCCGUGCUGCUGGAGUCUGGUAAUGAUGAAAGUGCAAUUAUGACUAUAUUUGGAGAAAUCAAAAGUAAGCAUGGUAACACGCAAGGGUUUGGUGCUGAGCAAGUCAUAUUAGUUCGGGAUGAUGGUACCAAAAAACAAAUUGUUGACCUUGUUGGCAAACAGGCUCUUGUUUUGACUAUUGUUGAAUGCAAGGGCCUUGAGUUCCAGGAUGUGCUGCUGUACAACUUUUUUGGCUCAUCGCCUUUGAGGAACAAAUGGAGAGUGCUGUACAGCUACAUGAAAGAUAAAGAUAUUAUAGCACAGUCUGAGGAGAUCUCUCAUCCGGAUUUCGACAGAAGCAAGCAUCAUCUUCUCUGCUCAGAGCUGAAGCAACUCUAUGUUGCAAUCACACGCACGAGACAAAGACUGUGGAUAUGUGAGAAUACAGAUGAUUAUUGUCGACCAAUGUUUGACUAUUGGAAAAAGUUGCGUCUUGUAGAGGUUAGAUUACUUGAUCCUUCCCUAAUUCAAGCAAUGCAGACAGGAAGCAGUGCUGAUGAUUGGAGACUACGGGGAACCAAGUUAUUCAACGAGGGGCAAUUUGAAAUGGCUACGAUGUGUUUUGAAAAGGCUGGUGAUGCAUACAGAGAGAAGUGGGCAAGAGCUGCCGGACUUGUAGCAAUUGCUGAACGUGCCACGUCCUCAAAUUUGGAGAAUGGCAAGGCUCCAAUGCAGAAAGCAUCAGAAAUCUAUGAGUCCAUAGGCAUGCAUGAGAAAGCUGCUACAUGUUAUAUCAAAUUAGGCGACUACAAAAAAGCAGGUAUGCUCUAUGUGCAAAAAUGUGGUGCUUCCAGGCUUGAGGAUGCUGGUGAUUGUUUUUCCAUGACUGAGUGCUGGUUAGAGGCAGCUAAAGUGUUCUUCAAAGCUAAAUGUUACACCAAGUGUUUAUCAAUGUGCUCGAAAGGAAAACUAUUCGAUCUUGGCUUGCAGUUCCUGCAACAGUUGAAGGAGGAACAUUUGCUUGAGAAUUCAAAAUCCUUGGAGGUUUCUGCUAUUAGAAAGACUUAUCUUGAAAGUUGUGCUCAGCAUUAUUCCGAGCACGGCGACAUAAAGCAUAUGAUGCCUUUUGUUAGGGCUUUCAGUUCUAUGGAUCAUGUACGGGCAUUCUUGAAGUCUAAGAAUCUUCUUGAAGAACUGUUUAGCUUAGAGGUGGAUAGGGGUAAUUUCCUCGAAGCUGCCGGAAUAGCAAAGCAAAAAGGACAUAUCAUACGGGAGGUAGACAUGCUCGAGAAGGCAGAUCAGACUGAGGAUGCAACGCGGCUUCUCCUCCUCCAUAUCAUUGCAGAUUCCUUUUGGUCUUCAAAUCGUAGAGGGUGGCCUCCCAAAAGAUAUCCAGAGAAGGAACAGUUGCUUGCAAGAACCAAAGAGAUGGCGAAAAAGGUCUCUGAGUGCUUCUAC